UACGUAGGGUGCGAGCGUUGUCCGGAAUUACUGGGCGUAAAGAGCUCGUAGGUGGUUUGUCGCGUUGUUCGUGAAAACUCACAGCUCAACUGUGGGCGUGCGGGCGAUACGGGCAGACUGGAGUACUGUAGGGGAGACUGGAAUUCCUGGUGUAGCGGUGGAAUGCGCAGAUAUCAGGAGGAACACCGGUGGCGAAGGCGGGUCUCUGGGCAGUAACUGACGCUGAGGAGCGAAAGCGUGGGGAGCGAACAGG
RNAcentral lists this ribosomal RNA (253 nucleotides) under uncultured bacterium. RNAcentral describes it as "partial 16S ribosomal RNA". It matches the Rfam family "Bacterial small subunit ribosomal RNA", at positions 524 to 776 of the family's 1533-position model. The record is from RNAcentral.